Molecule: long non-coding RNA, 349 nt
Filed under: Elaeis guineensis (African oil palm)
Lineage: Eukaryota; Viridiplantae; Streptophyta; Magnoliopsida; Arecales; Arecaceae
Description: long non-coding RNA (EGUI_LNC003852)
Source: RNAcentral
AUUGGAAUAGAAAUUUAAAUCCUUAGGGGAGAGUAGGCAUUGAGUUUUAGAUAGAUUAGGUCAUUCCCAUUCCGUCUCGGAAUCAUAAUCAGAAUUGUUGGGUAUAAAAUACCCCCAGCCGAAGUUCGUAAAAGGCCGACCCUCCCUGAGCUCUUUCGGCUUCCGACCUUGCGCGAUGUCUUUCUGAACUCCUCCGACCGUCUGAGCUUCCACAAUGCCAUCCGGACUUCUCCAAUAAUGAGCUCCCCCAUUCAUCUACCGGGCUGCUCCAAACGCUUUCCGAACUUCUCCAACAGCAGGACGUCUACAGUAACCAGACUCCAUCCAAAUUUCUACGGCGGUCGACCGC